This 1310-nucleotide long non-coding RNA is filed under the name Canis lupus familiaris (dog). RNAcentral describes it as "lncRNA (ENSCAFG00040022588.1)". Lineage: Eukaryota; Metazoa; Chordata; Mammalia; Carnivora; Canidae. The record is from RNAcentral.
AAACUAUAUCAAGAUGCAUGGAAUAAAGAUAAAACCAACAUCACCAUUCCUUCUGACAUGCCAGGCAUGCUGCAGGCCCCUAUAAAUGCCCUGCAAAUCAGCAAUAUAAGAGGCAUAAAUACGAAUUGAAAAUACCUUCAUAGGAUAAUAUAUGUCAGCUUUGGGAGUGUGGUAUAAUGAAAUGGACAAAUUACCUAUCUUAGAAAUGUGUACAGCUUUUGGUGCUAAACAUUUUUUCUUUAGCUUUCUAUUCCUAAUGCAGUAUGAAUGAAAUUCUCCCUUUUAAAUGUUAGUUUAAAUACAUGGCUGGGUCCCAGGACUACAAAGAGUUGGGAUAUCUGUAUUCUAUCGGUGUCUUCCUUUCAAUCUUGAAAGCAUUGUUCGAUAUCCAAUGUUCACAGCUCAGUUUCAUCAUAUAUUAAUAGAGAAUAUUGAAAUACCUAGUUGAAUUUCUCUUACUUGAGGGAGUAUGAGGUGACAGUCUCCUUUAUCUUUAUAAAUUUUUGAUUGAUCCAGAGCAUUCUUGUUUGAUAUUACAAAGCCAUUAGCUUUGUGUCUUAUUUUCCACAUCAGAAAGUUAAAAGAUUUUAAAUUAUUAAGAUCAUAUCUAAACGAUAACAUAUCUAUGUCAUGUCCCUUGAGCAGGGACCUCUGAAAAGUCAAAAGGCAACAUUAGGAAAAAAAAUAUCUUACCGGACCUUACAUGAGACCUUGAUGAAGCUUUUCUAGCUUCACAGUUGAUUCUUAGUUUCCAUGUUUUGCGUGUUGCGGUAUUUUCAGAUGUGUACCAUAUUGUGAUGAAGACAAGCAUUCAAACAUUUACUAGGUCUAGAUGUUUAGCUUUAAAAUCUUAGUCAGAAGUAUCCUGCACUCCAUUAAGGAAAUAGCCAACAACCAGAGGAACUCAGAAAUCCCUGUUUUUCCUUAUCCUGUCUUCAUUCACAUUUUGUCAUAUUCAUAUUUUGAGUACUUGGAGUAUUCACUUAUUUUCAAUGUUUGUAAACAAACCUGAGUUUUCCCUCAACAGAAAUUUUACCAAAAAGACUGGAAUGAGACCAAGCAGAAAGGCUAUGACUUCAAAGCAGAUGCCAUUGAAAUCAAGCAAGCCAAAGACUCCAGAGAUAUUUCCAGUGAGUACAAGUACAAAGAAGGUUAGCAUAAGCAACUGGGCCACCACGUGGGUUUCCGCACCCUACAAGAUGACCCCAAAUUGGUAUGGUCUAUACACACUGCCAAGAUCCAGAGUGACAGAAAAUACAAGAAAGCUUAUGAGAAGUUUGAAAGAAUUCCCAAUACACCAUUGGACAUGA